RNAcentral lists this ribosomal RNA (537 nucleotides) under bacterium T-2-48-9A. RNAcentral's name for it is "bacterial SSU rRNA". It matches the Rfam family "Bacterial small subunit ribosomal RNA", at positions 371 to 895 of the family's 1533-position model. The record is from RNAcentral.
AUGGGGGAAACCCUGAUCCAGCCAUCCCGCGUGUAUGAUGAACNGCCUUCGGGUUAGUACAAGUACUUUAUGGCAGAGAAGAAAAGGUAUCUCCUAAUACGAGAUACUGCUGACGGUAUCUGCAGAAUAAGCACCGGCUAACUACGUGCCAGCAGCCGCGGUAAUACGUAGGGUGCAAGCGUUGAAUCGGAAUUACUGGGCGUAAAGCGUGUGUAGGCGGUUCGGAAAGAAAGAUGUGAAAUCCCAGGGCUCAACCUAGGAACUGCAUACUUUAACUGCCGAGCUAGAGUAUGUCAGAGGGGGGUAGAAUUCCACGUGUAGCAGUGAAAUGCGUAGAUAUGUGGAGGAAUACCGAUGGCGAAGGCAGCCCCCUGGGAUAAUACUGACGCUCAGACACGAAAGCGUGGGGAGCAAACAGGAUUAGAUACCCUGGUAGUCCACGCCCUAAACGAUGUCAACUAGCUGUUGGGGCCGUUAGGCAUUAGUAGCGCAGCUAACGCGUGAAGUCGACCGCCUGGGGAGUACAGUCGCAAGAUG